GGGAAUGUAGCUCAGUGGUAGAGCAUUUGCCUACCAUGCCAGAGGUCUUGGGUCCAAUUCCCAGCACUGCAA
This 72-nucleotide transfer RNA is filed under the name Heterocephalus glaber (naked mole-rat). It matches the Rfam family "tRNA". From Rfam's summary of the family: Transfer RNA (tRNA) molecules are approximately 80 nucleotides in length. Their secondary structure includes four short double-helical elements and three loops (D, anti-codon, and T loops). Further hydrogen bonds mediate the characteristic L-shaped molecular structure. tRNAs have two regions of fundamental functional importance: the anti-codon, which is responsible for specific mRNA codon recognition, and the 3' end, to which the tRNAs corresponding amino acid is attached (by aminoacyl-tRNA synthetases). tRNAs cope with the degeneracy of the genetic code in two manners: having more than one tRNA (with a specific anti-codon) for a particular amino acid; and 'wobble' base-pairing, i.e. permitting non-standard base-pairing at the 3rd anti-codon position. Lineage: Eukaryota; Metazoa; Chordata; Mammalia; Rodentia; Bathyergidae. The record is from Rfam by way of RNAcentral.